AUUGAACGCUGGCGGCAUGCCUUACACAUGCAAGUCGAACGGCAGCACGGGAGCAAUCCUGGUGGCGAGUGGCGAACGGGUGAGUAAUAUAUCGGAACGUGCCCAGUCGUGGGGGAUAACGUAGCGAAAGCUACGCUAAUACCGCAUACGAUCUAUGGAUGAAAGCGGGGGAUCGCAAGACCUCGCGCGAUUGGAGCGGCCGAUAUCAGAUUAGGUAGUUGGUGAGGUAAAGGCUCACCAAGCCGACGAUCUGUAGCUGGUCUGAGAGGACGACCAGCCACACUGGGACUGAGACACGGCCCAGACUCCUACGGGAGGCAGCAGUGGGGAAUUUUGGACAAUGGGCGAAAGCCUGAUCCAGCAAUGCCGCGUGAGUGAAGAAGGCCU
RNAcentral lists this ribosomal RNA (387 nucleotides) under uncultured bacterium. RNAcentral's name for it is "bacterial SSU rRNA". It matches the Rfam family "Bacterial small subunit ribosomal RNA", at positions 30 to 417 of the family's 1533-position model. The record is from RNAcentral.